ACGGGAGGCAGCAGUGGGGAAUAUUGGGCAAUGGGGGAAACCCUGACCCAGCAACGCCGCGUGAAGGAUGAAGGCUUUCGGGUUGUAAACUUCUUUUAUCAGGGACGAAUAAAGUGACGGUACCUGAAGAAUAAGCCCCGGCUAACUACGUGCCAGCAGCCGCGGUAAUACGUAGGUGGCAAGCGUUGUCCGGAUUUAAUGGGUGUAAAGGGCGCGUAGGCGGGAUAGCAAGUCAGGAGUGAAAUCUAUGGGCUUAAACCAAAAACUGCUUUUGAAACUGUUAGUCUUGAGUAUCGGAGAGGCAGGCGGAAUUCCUAGUGUAGCGGUGAAAUGCGUAGAUAUUAGGAGGAACACCAGUGGCGAAGGCGGCCUGCUGGACGACAACUGACGCUGAGGCGCGAAAGCGUGGGGAGCAAACAGGAUUAGAUACCCUGGUA
RNAcentral lists this ribosomal RNA (437 nucleotides) under uncultured Oscillospiraceae bacterium. RNAcentral's name for it is "partial 16S ribosomal RNA". It matches the Rfam family "Bacterial small subunit ribosomal RNA", at positions 341 to 792 of the family's 1533-position model. Lineage: Bacteria; Bacillati; Bacillota; Clostridia; Eubacteriales; Oscillospiraceae. The record is from RNAcentral.